UAAUACAUCGGAACGUGUCUUCUAGUGGGGGAUAACUGCCCGAAAGGGCAGCUAAUACCGCAUGAGACCUGAGGGUGAAAGCGGGGGAUCGCAAGACCUCGCGCUGGAAGAGCGGCCGAUGUCCGAUUAGCUAGUUGGUGAGGUAAAGGCUCAUCAAGGCGACGAUCGGUAGCUGGUCUGAGAGGACGACCAGCCACGCUGGGACUGAGACACGGCCCAG
Molecule: ribosomal RNA, 220 nt
Filed under: uncultured bacterium
Lineage: Bacteria
Description: partial 16S ribosomal RNA
Rfam family: Bacterial small subunit ribosomal RNA
Source: RNAcentral